ACGGGUGAGUAACGCGUAAAGAACUUGCCCUGCAGUCUGGGAUAACAGACGGAAACGACUGAUAAAACCUGAUAUAAUCAAGCCCACGCAUGUGGUGCUUGAUGAAAAGAAAUGCUGCAGGAGAGCUUUGCGUCCUAUUAGCUUGUUGGCGGGGUAAUGGCCCACCAAGGCAAUGAUAGGUAGCCGGCCUGAGAGGGUGACCGGCCACAAGGGGACUGAGAUACGGCCCUUACUCCUACGGGAGGCAGCAGUGGGGAAUAUUGGACAAUGGACCAAGAGUCUGAUCCAGCAAUUCUGUGUGCACGAUGAAGUUUUUCGGAAUGUAAAGUGCUUUCAGUUGGGAAGAAAAAAAUGACGGUACCAACAGAAAAAGUGACGGCUAAAUACGUGCCAGCAGCCGCGGUAAUACGUAUGUCACAAGCGUUAUCCGGAUUUAUUGGGCGUAAAGCGCGUCUAGGUGGUUAUGUAAGUCUGAUGUGAAAAUGCAGGGCUCAACUCUGUAUUGCUCUUGGAAACUGUGUAACUAGAGUACUGUAGAGGUAAGCGGAACUACAAGUGUAGAGGUGAAAUUCGUACACAUUUGUACGAAUGCCGAUGGGGAAAUCUGCUUACAUACACAGAUGUAGAAGCCGUAUCUCGAAAUUGUCUGUAACUCAUAGGCUUAAAAUGACUGGCAAAAACACGGUGUACACA
Molecule: ribosomal RNA, 693 nt
Filed under: uncultured bacterium
Lineage: Bacteria
Description: bacterial SSU rRNA
Rfam family: Bacterial small subunit ribosomal RNA
Source: RNAcentral